GUGGGGAAUAUUGGACAAUGGGCGAAAGCCUGAUCCAGCCAUGCCGCGUGUGUGAAGAAGGUCUUCGGAUUGUAAAGCACUUUAAGUUGGGAGGAAGGGUAGUAACCUAAUACGUUGCUACUUUGACGUUACCGACAGAAUAAGCACCGGCUAACUUCGUGCCAGCAGCCGCGGUAAUACGAAGGGUGCAAGCGUUAAUCGGAAUUACUGGGCGUAAAGCGCGCGUAGGUGGUUUUGUAAGUUGGAGGUGAAAUCCCCGGGCUCAACCUGGGGACUGCCUCCAAAACUGCAUGACUAGAGUACGGUAGAGGGUAGUGGAAUUUCCUGUGUAGCGGUGAAAUGCGUAGAUAUAGGAAGGAACACCAGUGGCGAAGGCGACUACCUGGACUGAUACUGACACUGAGGUGCGAAAGCGUGGGGAGCAAACAGGAUUAGAUACCCCAGUAGUCC
This 450-nucleotide ribosomal RNA is filed under the name uncultured bacterium. RNAcentral's name for it is "partial 16S ribosomal RNA". It matches the Rfam family "Bacterial small subunit ribosomal RNA", at positions 354 to 796 of the family's 1533-position model. The record is from RNAcentral.